CAGAGAUACAUGCAAAAAAAAAAAAAAUUAAACCAGGUAAUCAUAUUUAUAUUUGAGAAACUAUUUAAAACCCAGAGUAUUAUAAAUAGCAAAACAAUGUCAUGGAUAAGAUUUUGACAAUGCAACUAUUUAUUAAUUAUUAAGUUCGACCUCUAGAAUUUUACCAUGGAUGAAGUAUAUCAUGGGUCACAAAGUAUAGAAAUUUAUGUAGCGGGCUUUAUAGAGAUCAACAUUUUUGAAUUACACAUUUCAAGAUCGUGUCAUGUAUAUAUCGCUUGUUUAGGGGUUAUACACACAUGCAUCGCUAAUAACGUUCAUUUUCUUAUUGUAACCGUAGAUGAAUUUUUUGCUAUAUAAAGAGUAGGUCUAUAUAUUUAUUUCUGUCAGUAAAUUAAUCUUGUUGGUAUCGCAUCAUCUGUUUUCUCCAACUGUUCACAUGGCUCUUGCAUUCAAUUUAGUUUGCUCUAAUAACCCAUGCAGACAAAACUAGAGAAUCAAAGUUUGUAUGGUUUGAUUAUGGAAUAUGCCCAGACUCCACUCUCAUGAAGAGAUAUCAUCCAUAGAAAUGAUUCUUAAGGACGAGGAUGUAAGUGUUUUAUUGAUUAAUUUAGGCAUGUACUUCUUGUGUUCUAACAGUUAUUUUUCUCCAGGGUGAAAACAUUCAUGCUACAGUUAAGACUGCCUUCCUUCCACGACAUCGCAAGAAUUUUGAAGAGGAAAAAAUUUUACUCUUUGAAGUGCAGCUUGUGCCAUAGAAGAUAAUUUUUGGAGAAAGAAUCUUUGUAACACCUAACAUUUAGUUAGCUUCACUGGAGCUUACUCUCCAAUCUUUCCUUUUCUUGACUAAAUAUUUUUACUUUCAGUUUCAAUUGAUGGGUUCUUAACUCUUAAUUAUUACUAAAACUAGAAAUACAUUUUUAAUGUUAGGAAUUUACUAAAACAAAAUAGAGAGCACAUUUUAAUUU
Long non-coding RNA from Neltuma alba, 965 nucleotides. RefSeq lists it as uncharacterized. The record is from RefSeq and is a predicted model, not a curated record. Lineage: Eukaryota; Viridiplantae; Streptophyta; Magnoliopsida; Fabales; Fabaceae. The transcript has 2 exons.